GGAGCUGCAAUGAGCAGUGAGAGCCGGGACUUGGGAGCUGCAGGACGUCGGGUCGGUACGGGAUGCUAUGGCUGUUUGGCACAGACACUCCUGCUGGGUAGGAAGGAGAUGCUGCAACUCUGUCGGCGCUAUGGAUACCUACAAUUUAUGGCACACAUUAUGGAGGAAUAUGCUAUUUAUGGCUACAGAAAGCAGUGGAUUAGCAGAGCUGGAAAUCUCCUAUAUGUCAAAUACCCUUAUGUCGGAUUUACGUUUUGGAUGCGCUAUGUAUUGGAUUUAGCCUUGCUCUCUUUAUUUGCACAUGGGAUAAUGGAUAUAAAUAUGUGCUCUACUUGUGGAUUGUGUGUUUUAGCCUCUACUGGAACAUAGAGAUGGUACUAUAUCUUAUAUAUCAAAUGGAUCUAUAAUUCGCUUGUGCUCCAGUCAGAAUUGGGUGAACUCAAUGUAUAAAAGGUGGUGUAUGCAGAGAGAUUCUUUGUCUCAAAUACGUUUGGCCUAGCAGUCGUGCUUUUGUGAAGACCAAGGUUAGAUACCACAUAUGACCACAAGGUUCUGAUAACCCAUGACACUGGAAUGGAAUCAUAAUUUUUAGGGUCCAUGUUUGCCUAGCCUUAGUUCAGCCCUACUCUGGGUUUCUAUUUUCUAUAUUAACAUUGCCCAGUGAAAGUGAAGAUGCAUGAAGUGUUUGUUAAAGGGAGGGUUGUGUGUUUGUAGAAGGGUGGUUGGGGAGUAAAAGAUCCUUUAAUCAAGAAAGCAUUUUGGCACUUUCACAGUCAGUAAAAAACAGCAUUUCCAGAGAUAUAUAUUAAUGGGUGAAAUGCAGGCGGCAACACCACAACAUAUAUACAAUAUAUGGGUUUGUUUGUGGGACUAUAUAUAUAUAUAUAUAUAUGGUAAGUUGCUGAAUCUGAAAUAUCAAUAAGUCCCUCAAGUUAACCCCUUGCAAAAGUCUCUAUUAUAAUCAUUCUUUUAUACAUAAUUAUUGCCCUAUUUAGGCACAUUCUGCCCUCAUUAAUAAAUAUUAAUACUGUGGCAAAUCCUUAUAAGCACAUUGGUUUUGUGUAGGUAUUUUCUGUCUGUGAAUUAGAAAAAACGUUCAAUAUGUUUAAUAAAUAUUUUGUAUUGAAAAA
This is a long non-coding RNA of Xenopus tropicalis (tropical clawed frog), 1130 nucleotides long. RefSeq lists it as uncharacterized. Lineage: Eukaryota; Metazoa; Chordata; Amphibia; Anura; Pipidae. The record is from RefSeq and is a predicted model, not a curated record. The transcript has 3 exons.